GACGAACGCUGGCGGCGUGCCUAAUACAUGCAAGUAGAACGCACAGUUUAUACCGUAGCUUGCUACACCAUAGACUGUGAGUUGCGAACGGGUGAGUAACGCGUAGGUAACCUGCCUGGUAGCGGGGGAUAACUAUUGGAAACGAUAGCUAAUACCGCAUAAUAUUGAUUAUUGCAUGAUAAUUGAUUGAAAGAUGCUAUUGCAUCACUACCAGAUGGACCUGCGUUGUAUUAGCUAGUAGGUGAGGUAACGGCUCACCUAGGCGACGAUACAUAGCCGACCUGAGAGGGUGAUCGGCCACAACGGGACUGAGACACGGCCCAGAAUCCUACGGGAGGCAGCAGUAGGGAAUCUUCGGCAAUGGACGAAAGUCUGACCGAGCAACGCCGCGUGAGUGAAGAAGGUUUUCGGAUCGUAAAGCUCUGUUGUAAGAGAAGAACGGGUGUGAGAGUGGAAAGUUCACACUGUGACGGUAUCUUACCAGAAAGGGACGGCUAACUACGUG
RNAcentral lists this ribosomal RNA (505 nucleotides) under uncultured bacterium. RNAcentral's name for it is "partial 16S ribosomal RNA". It matches the Rfam family "Bacterial small subunit ribosomal RNA", at positions 28 to 507 of the family's 1533-position model. The record is from RNAcentral.